Molecule: ribosomal RNA, 97 nt
Filed under: Oryzias latipes (Japanese medaka)
Lineage: Eukaryota; Metazoa; Chordata; Actinopteri; Beloniformes; Adrianichthyidae
Source: RNAcentral
AUGUGCAGCCAUACCACCCUGAUCACGCCCAAACUCGGAAGCUAAGCAGGUUAGUACUUGGAUGGGAGACUGCCUCCAUGGAAAAAGGCUUCAGGAG